AUGGCUGUACCGGUAUAGGGUUGAUGGUUGUACCGGCACAAUCACCGUGCUUGUACCGGUACAGAGCCGUUGAACCCCCAACCCAAGCCUCGGGUUGUGAUGUUUCGUAGGGCUUAUACCGGUACAGGGGCCCGUGUACCGGUACAAGGUGGUAGAUUUUGAGCAGUUUGAACUGUAGGGUGUUUUUGCGAUUGUGGGUCUCUUAUAUCACCACCCACGCCCUUGAGGCCUUCCCUGAGCUCACCAGCAGCAAGAGGAGAGGCUUUUCCACCAUUGGAGCUUGGGUUUGGGGCUUGAGAGGAGGAAGAUCUCCACACUUGGUGAACUUAGAAUCUUGUUGGAAGCUUCCAAGAGGGCUUUUGGAGCUAGAUUCAUUGGAUUAGAAUCCUUCUUUGGGUUGGAUUUGAAGGAUUCUAGCCUUCUUUUGGAGCUUGUGAGAGUUUUUCCCCACCCUAGGGUAUUUUGAGACUCAUGGACAACUCCGUUCGGCGAA
Ananas comosus (pineapple) is the source of this 493-nucleotide long non-coding RNA. RefSeq lists it as uncharacterized. NCBI's taxonomy places the organism in Eukaryota, Viridiplantae, Streptophyta, Magnoliopsida, Poales, Bromeliaceae. The transcript is spliced from 4 exons. The record is from RefSeq and is a predicted model, not a curated record.